This 880-nucleotide ribosomal RNA is filed under the name uncultured Streptococcus sp. RNAcentral's name for it is "bacterial SSU rRNA". It matches the Rfam family "Bacterial small subunit ribosomal RNA", at positions 30 to 885 of the family's 1533-position model. The record is from RNAcentral. Lineage: Bacteria; Bacillati; Bacillota; Bacilli; Lactobacillales; Streptococcaceae.
CGAACGCUGGCGGCGUGCCUAAUACAUGCAAGUAGAACGCACAGGAUGCACCGUAGUUUACUACACCGUAUUCUGUGAGUUGCGAACGGGUGAGUAACGCGUAGGUAACCUGCCUGGUAGCGGGGGAUAACUAUUGGAAACGAUAGCUAAUACCGCAUAAGAACAUUUACUGCAUGGUAGAUGUUUAAAAGGUGCAAAAGCAUCACUACCAGAUGGACCUGCGUUGUAUUAGCUAGUUGGUGAGGUAACGGCUCACCAAGGCAACGAUACAUAGCCGACCUGAGAGGGUGAUCGGCCACACUGGGACUGAGACACGGCCCAGACUCCUACGGGAGGCAGCAGUAGGGAAUCUUCGGCAAUGGGGGGAACCCUGACCGAGCAACGCCGCGUGAGUGAAGAAGGUUUUCGGAUCGUAAAGCUCUGUUGUUAAGGAAGAACGUGUGUGAGAGUGGAAAGUUCACACAGUGACGGUACUUAACCAGAAAGGGACGGCUAACUACGUGCCAGCAGCCGCGGUAUACGUAGGUCCCGAGCGUUGUCCGGAUUUAUUGGGCGUAAAGCGAGCGCAGGCGGUUAGAUAAGUCUGAAGUGAAAGGCAGUGGCUCAACCAUUGUAGGCUUUGGAAACUGUUUAACUUGAGUGCAGAAGGGGAGAGUGGAAUUCCAUGUGUAGCGGUGAAAUGCGUAGAUAUAUGGAGGAACACCGGUGGCGAAAGCGGCUCUCUGGUCUGUAACUGACGCUGAGGCUCGAAAGCGUGGGGAGCGAACAGGAUUAGAUACCCUGGUAGUCCACGCCGUAAACGAUGAGUGCUAGGUGUUAGGUCCUUUCCGGGACUUAGUGCCGCAGCUAACGCAUUAAGCACUCCGCCUGGGGAGUACGA